AUACUGCUUGGCAGCAUGUAUACUAAAAUUGCAACAAUUCAGAGAAGAUUAGCAUGGCCCCUACACAAGGAUAGCAUGCAAAUUUUCCCCAUAUUUUU
This 98-nucleotide small nuclear RNA is filed under the name Sus scrofa (pig). Lineage: Eukaryota; Metazoa; Chordata; Mammalia; Artiodactyla; Suidae. The record is from RNAcentral. RNAcentral also lists the same sequence under 1 other name.